CAGUAGGUCAUCUGAGAGGAGACAAGGAGAUGGCCUCCAGGCUUAUGAUGGGAGUGGCAGCUGUGAAGACCUCUGACAUGUCCUGGAGACAUUUUCCCCAUUGUCUUGGGGAUUAACAUUCGGCUCAUUGUCACUUAUGCAAAUUUCUGCAGCUGGCUUGAAUUUCUCCUCCGAAAAUGGCAUUUUCUUUUCUACUGCAUCAUCAGGCUGCAAAUUUUUUGAACUUUUAUGCUCUGCUUCUGUUAUAAAACUGAAUGUCUUUAACAGCACCCAAAGUCAUUCAGGAGAAGAUUGUUUAAGCAGACAUGAACUAAAUAAACAGUAAUACGUGGGAAA
RNAcentral lists this long non-coding RNA (336 nucleotides) under Homo sapiens (human). RNAcentral's name for it is "HSALNT0198839". Lineage: Eukaryota; Metazoa; Chordata; Mammalia; Primates; Hominidae. The record is from RNAcentral.